UCCCUGGUGGUCCAAUGGUUAAGACUCGGCGCUUCCAAUGCAAGGGGCGCAGGUUCAAUCCCUGGCUGGGGAA
Molecule: transfer RNA, 73 nt
Filed under: Bos taurus (domestic cattle)
Lineage: Eukaryota; Metazoa; Chordata; Mammalia; Artiodactyla; Bovidae
Also listed under: 5 other names
Rfam family: tRNA
About the family: Transfer RNA (tRNA) molecules are approximately 80 nucleotides in length. Their secondary structure includes four short double-helical elements and three loops (D, anti-codon, and T loops). Further hydrogen bonds mediate the characteristic L-shaped molecular structure. tRNAs have two regions of fundamental functional importance: the anti-codon, which is responsible for specific mRNA codon recognition, and the 3' end, to which the tRNAs corresponding amino acid is attached (by aminoacyl-tRNA synthetases). tRNAs cope with the degeneracy of the genetic code in two manners: having more than one tRNA (with a specific anti-codon) for a particular amino acid; and 'wobble' base-pairing, i.e. permitting non-standard base-pairing at the 3rd anti-codon position.
Source: Rfam by way of RNAcentral